GCCUACGGGAGGCUGCAGUGAGGAAUAUUGGUCAAUGGGCGCGAGCCUGAACCAGCCAAGUAGCGUGAAGGAUGACUGCCCUACGGGUUGUAAACUUCUUUUAUAAAGGAAUAAAGUGAGGCACGGGUGCCUUUUUGUAUGUACUUUAUGAAUAAGGAUCGGCUAACUCCGUGCCAGCAGCCGCGGUAAUACGGAGGAUCCGAGCGUUAGCCGGAUUUAUUGGGUUGAAAGGGAGCGUAGAUGGGUUGUUAAGUCAGUUGUGAAAGUUUGCGGCUCAACCGUAAAAUUGCAAUUGAUACUGGCAGUCUUGAGUACAGUUGAGGUAGGCGGAAUUCGUGGUGUAGCGGUGAAAUGCUUAGAUAUCUGGAGGAACAUCAGUGGCGAAGGCGACUAUCUGGCACAUAACUGACGCUGAGGAGCGAAAGCGUGGGUAGCAAACAGGAUUAGAUACCCCAGUAGUC
This 461-nucleotide ribosomal RNA is filed under the name uncultured bacterium. RNAcentral's name for it is "partial 16S ribosomal RNA". It matches the Rfam family "Bacterial small subunit ribosomal RNA", at positions 337 to 795 of the family's 1533-position model. The record is from RNAcentral.